UUCUCACCUGGUCUCGCUCUUCUCCUACUCUUCCCUCUGAUCUCCUCUUACUUGUCUUAAACUCUUCUUUCACUCCUCUGUUCAUCCUCCUCUCUCACCUUGCUACACAAGUUCUUCUGAAUCUGCCAAAUCAACGAAGUAGGAAACAACUAUCUGCGGUCCUAAUGGAACAGGACGGACUUUGACGCUGUGGACCCUGACACCACUGACUACCUAAUGGCCCUGUGACCUGCACUUUUACGUGGAGAGAGACCCCACCAUGGACCCGUCCAUUGCUGAGACCACAGGAAACGCCAUCCGCAUCCUCAACAAAAAACCCAAGCGAUUCUUCCUCCUGGUGCAAGGUGAACAAAGGGUUAACCAAGCUGUCAGUCAAUGAAACGAUCCAUCAACCCAAUCCCAACAGGUUCCUCUUUGAAAUGGGUGUACGGUUGUUUGUUAAAAUGGAAUCAAUCUAUUGAGUGAAUAAUCACACCACUUGCUUAUAUAAUGGAACACCAAGAUGCAUUGAUUUCAAAAUGUGUGUAACCUUGUUUUUGUAACUUGCCUCAAUAUAGAGGGUAGUUAGUUGCGGUGCUGAUGCUGUGUGCCUCUCAGCAAGACAGUUAGGGACUGCAGUACACUACAUGUAUCUGCAGACUGUAGUAGGAUCUGCAUGUGUUUGCCGCAGUGUGAGGAGGGGGAACAUUAUGUUGGGAUGCGACAUAUUACUGUUCUACAGCGGUGGCUCUUGGGCCCAGGCCCUCAUCCAUCCUACCUUCAAUCUGAGACACCAUCCUGGGACCUGAUUGUGCUGUUGAGCGUCUUGCAUCUUCAACAAUGAGUUUUAAAUAACACAUCGCAGCAGGCUUUAAAUAGAGCUGGGCAUAUGGUGCACCGUACCCUCUUCUCCUGCUCCCUGGGGAUCCAACAUAUUAGCCCAACUCCUUUCCACUUUCUGACUGCACUGAUGAGGAGAACAGGAGCUAGGUUGGUUUUACUUGGCUAAGUUACACUUGUAGUAGAGUAAUUUCAACUUUACUCCUUGUCCCUUACACACAGACCUAUGGUCAGCUUACCUUUCCCCAAUCUUAACCUUAAAUCAUUAGAGAUGACACCACAAUCCUGAGCUGAGAUCAGUGUUUAUGGGUAACUUCAUCCUUCUCUUUCUCUCUGUGUGUCACGUGGGCGUAUCGACCAGGGCCACCAUGCCAGCAGAGGCUUGCACGAGACGGUUGCCUUUGACAACGACGUCGCCAAGGGCCUGGAGCUGACCAAUGAGGAGGAAACUCUCACCCUGUUGACAGCUGGCCACUCCCACGCCUUCACCUUCAAUGGAUACCCCUUCAGAGGCCAAAGCAUUCUGGGGAAAUCUCCUCUGUAUGGGAAGGAUAUGCUGCCUCACACAACCGUGAUGCACUGAAACGGCCCUGGACACAAAGUCGUAGACAACAAGCGCCCUGACAGCCAUAAAGUGGACACAAAGUGGAAGGACUACAUGCAGCUGUCUGCAGUUCCCCGGGACACUGAGACCCAUGGUGGGGAGGAUGUGGUGGUACUGGCCCGCGUCCCCAUGGCCCACCUCUUCCACUGGGUCCAGGAGCAAAGUUACCUGGCCCAUGCCAUGGCUUACACUGGCUGUGUGGGAUGGGACCUCAGGCACUGUGAAGGUAGACCUCAACACACCAACAGGAUCCUCAUCACUACUACUGCUGAUGAUAGGAACAGUGCACCAUCCCAGGUACCCUCCUUCUCUCUCGGUACUGCCCUACUGGCUGAACUGCUGCAAUGAGAGACUGGUGGAGGUGGAGAAGUGGGAGGGAGAGUAAGAGAAUGAAAGUAGAAUAAAAGAGAUCCAUCUGUUUUGCUACUCCUCUUAAACAAAUACAUGUGCUCUUUAACAAUAUGAUUUUAUCAAAUGAUUGUAAAUUAUGAGAAUACUCACAUUUGUAUAUGUUUAUUUAAAUAAAUA
Long non-coding RNA from Oncorhynchus gorbuscha (pink salmon), 1951 nucleotides. RefSeq lists it as uncharacterized. The transcript is spliced from 4 exons. Lineage: Eukaryota; Metazoa; Chordata; Actinopteri; Salmoniformes; Salmonidae. The record is from RefSeq and is a predicted model, not a curated record.